GACGAACGCUGGCGGCGUGCCUAAUACAUGCAAGUAGAACGCUGAAGGAGGAGCUUGCUUCUCUGGAUGAGUUGCGAACGGGUGAGUAACGCGUAGGUAACCUGCCUGGUAGCGGGGGAUAACUAUUGGAAACGAUAGCUAAUACCGCAUAAUAGUAGAUGUUGCAUGACAUUUGCUUAAAAGGUGCAAUUGCAUCACUACCAGAUGGACCUGCGUUGUAUUAGCUAGUUGGUGAGGUAACGGCUCACCAAGGCGACGAUACAUAGCCGACCUGAGAGGGUGAUCGGCCACACUGGGGCUGAGACACGGCCCAGACUCCUACGGGAGGCAGCAGUAGGGAAUCCUCGGCAAUGGACGGAAGUCUGACCGAGCAACGCCGCGUGAGUGAAGAAGGUUUUCGGAUCGUAAAGCUCUGUUGUAAGAGAAGAACGAGUGUGAGAGUGGAAAGUUCACACUGUGACGGUAUCUUACCAGAAAGGGACGGCUAACUACGUG
This 495-nucleotide ribosomal RNA is filed under the name uncultured bacterium. RNAcentral's name for it is "partial 16S ribosomal RNA". It matches the Rfam family "Bacterial small subunit ribosomal RNA", at positions 28 to 507 of the family's 1533-position model. The record is from RNAcentral.